GUYUUUUUGUUAAAAAUUUAAAGUCGGGCCUGCCCACUGAAAAUUUAAAUGGCCGUGGUAUUUUGACCGUGCUAAGGUAGCAUAAUCAUUAGUUUUUUAAUUGAAAGCUGGAAUGAAGGGUUUGAUAAAAAAAUGACUGUCUCUAUUUAAUUUUAUUAAAAUUUUAUUUUUAAGUUCAAAAGCUUAAUUUUUAUUAAAAGACGAGAAGACCCUAUAGAGUUUAAUAAUAAAAAUUAAUUUUUAUUUUAGAAUUAAUUUAUUUAUUUUUUAAUAUUAUUUAAUUGGGGUGAUUGAAAAAUUUAGUUAACUUUUUUUAUAUUAAAUCAUUAAUUUAUGAAUAUUUGAUCCAAUUUUUUUGAUUAUAAGAUAAAAUUACCUUAGGGAUAACAGCGUAAUUUUUUUAGAAAGUUCAAAUUAAAAAAAAAGAUUGCGACCUCGAUGUUGGAUUAAAAUUAAAUUUUGGUGUAGAAGCUAAAAAAUUUAAGUCUGUUCGACUUUUAAAAUUUUACA
RNAcentral lists this ribosomal RNA (510 nucleotides) under Calligrapha labyrinthica. RNAcentral describes it as "partial 16S ribosomal RNA". The stretch from base 383 to 510 matches the Rfam family "Archaeal large subunit ribosomal RNA", at positions 2544 to 2671 of the family's 2987-position model. The record is from RNAcentral. Lineage: Eukaryota; Metazoa; Arthropoda; Insecta; Coleoptera; Chrysomelidae.